GUAGUCCACGCCGUAAACGAUGAAUACUAGGUGUUGGGCAGCAAAGCUGUUCGGUGCCGCAGCAAACGCAAUAAGUAUUCCACCUGGGGAGUACGUUCGCAAGAAUGAAACUCAAAGGAAUUGACGGGGACCCGCACAAGUAGCGGAGCAUGUGGUUUAAUUCGAAGCAACGCGAAGAACCUUACCUAAGCUUGACAUCCUUUUGACCUCUCCCUAAUCGGAGAUUUCCCUUCGGGGACAGAAGUGACAGGUGGUGCAUGGUUGUCGUCAGCUCGUGUCGUGAGAUGUUGGGUUAAGUCCCGCAACGAGCGCAACCCUUGCCUUUAGUUGCCAGCAUUAAGUUGGGCACUCUAGAGGGACUGCCAGGGAUAACCUGGAGGAAGGUGGGGAUGACGUCAAAUCAUCAUGCCCCUUAUGCUUAGGGCUACACACGUGCUACAAUGGGUGGUACAGAGGGCAGCCAAGUCGUGAGGCGGAGCUAAUCCCUUAAAGCCAUUCUCAGUUCGGAUUGUAGGCUGAAACUCGCCUACAUGAAGCUGGAGUUACUAGUAAUCGCAGAUCAGAAUGCUGCGGUGAAUGCGUUCCCGGGUCUUGUACACACCGCCCGUCACACCACGGAAGUUGGGGGCGCCCGAAGCCGGAUUGCUAACCUUUUGGAAGCGUCCGUCGAAGGUGAAAUCAAUAACUGGGGUG
This 693-nucleotide ribosomal RNA is filed under the name uncultured bacterium. RNAcentral's name for it is "bacterial SSU rRNA". It matches the Rfam family "Bacterial small subunit ribosomal RNA", at positions 790 to 1482 of the family's 1533-position model. The record is from RNAcentral.